This 497-nucleotide ribosomal RNA is filed under the name uncultured bacterium. Its description in RNAcentral is "partial 16S ribosomal RNA". It matches the Rfam family "Bacterial small subunit ribosomal RNA", at positions 28 to 507 of the family's 1533-position model. The record is from RNAcentral.
GAUGAACGCUGGCGGCGUGCCUAAUACAUGCAAGUCGAGCGAACGGACGAGAAGCUUGCUUUUCUGAUGUUAGCGGCGGACGGGUGAGUAACACGUGGAUAACCUACCUAUAAGACUGGGAUAACUUCGGGAAACCGGAGCUAAUACCGGAUAAUAUUUUGAACCGCAUGGUUCAAAAGUGAAAGACGGUCUUGCUGUCACUUAUAGAUGGAUCCGCGCUGCAUUAGCUAGUUGGUAAGGUAACGGCUUACCAAGGCAACGAUGCAUACCCGACCUGAGAGGGUGGUCGGCCACACUGGAACUGAGACACGGUCCAGACUCCUACGGGAGGCAGCAGUAGGGAAUCUUACGCAAUGGGCGAAAGCCUGACGGAGCAACGCCGCGUGAGUGAUGAAGGUCUUCGGAUCGUAAAACUCUGUUAUUAGGGAAGAACAUAUGUGUAAGUAACUGUGCACAUCUUGACGGUACCUAAUCAGAAAGCCACGGCUAACUACGUG